This 514-nucleotide ribosomal RNA is filed under the name uncultured bacterium. RNAcentral's name for it is "bacterial SSU rRNA". It matches the Rfam family "Bacterial small subunit ribosomal RNA", at positions 34 to 518 of the family's 1533-position model. The record is from RNAcentral.
CGCUGGCGGCGUGCCUAAUACAUGCAAGUCGAACGGUCUUUCUAUGGAAGCUUGCUUCCGACUGAGAAGAUAGUGGCGAACGGGUGAGUAACACGUGGGUAACCUGCCCAUAAGAGGGGGAUAACGAUCCGGAAACGGGUGCUAAUACCGCAUAGUUUUCUUGAUUGCAUGAUUGAGAAAGGAAAGACGGCCUUUGUGCUGUCGCUUAUGGAUGGACCCGCGGCGUAUUAGUUAGUUGGUGAGGUAACGGCUCACCAAGACGAUGAUACGUAGCCGACCUGAGAGGGUGAUCGGCCACAUUGGGACUGAGACACGGCCCAAACUCCUACGGGAGGCAGCAGUAGGGAAUCUUCCGCAAUGGACGAAAGUCUGACGGAGCAACGCCGCGUGAGUGAAGAAGGUUUUUCCGGAUCGUAAAACUCUGUUGUCAGAGAAGAACAAGUUGGAGAGUAACUGCUCCAGCCUUGACGGUAUCUGACCAGAAAGCCACGGCUAACUACGUGCCAGCAGCAGC